GUAUGGAUGAAAACACAAGUUUUCGCGUGAAAAUCUCUUUUGUCUAUGAAAACACGAAUUUUGUGUCAGUGCGAACAUAGUAUAAAAAUGCAAAUUAAAAAAUUAAAAAUCAAAAUAAAAUACGACCGCUUUUCGGAGCGGUACUCGCGCACGAUGGGAGGAUUUCGCAACCAAAAAUUAUUAGCGAAAUUUACCACAGCUUCACCCCAGAAGACUCGAAGAUAGCAGAAUUGAGCAUUUUCAGUGUUAAAUGAGAAAAAUAAUGCUAAUUGCUGUUUAAAAAUGUACAGAUACAGAUUCGUUUAUUUAUAAUGAGUAAACGAAUUUGCAUAUAUACAUUUCUGUAUAUAUUUGGUAUCAAAGCACAUAAGUAAAUAAUGUGUGACAAAUAUUAAAAUUAUGCCGAAAGCCAGCUGUACAUUGUGCCGAAAAUCGAUCAAAAUUAGAAAAUAUUCCAUGAAAAAAAAAAGUGAGAGCCGUCAUGAGCAGGAAAGUCAGACAUGGGGCGUUGCGCUGCAUGAAAACUCCAAGAUAUACGAGCUUAAUUUUUCUAAUGAGGACUUUAUAAGCGAAGGGUACAAUACAGGCAUCAUUGAUCAACGACGAGGAUACUGAUAUAGUAAGAAUGAAAGUUGACGAAAUAUUUUUUUGAAAUAUAAGAUUUUAUUAAAAUGUUAUCAAAUAUGCAUGAUAUCAUAGAUAUUCACAAAAGGAAAAUUAUAUCAUGUUUCAUGCAUGUGUUUGCAUAAAAAUUUAUAAACAUAUAAGCCAGAGGGGUAACAGACGUCUGUAAUAGCAAUAUAUAUUUUUGAGGAUAAUUUUUAUUCAAUGCUCAGCUCUGUUCAAAUUCCAUUGUUAUCCGCCUAUCGUGUUUUGUUAGUGUUAGUGUUACCGAAGUUAGUUUUGGGUGCUCUAUUCCCUGUAGACCUAUAUUAUCGGUACAAAAUAAAUUUACAAUAAUUUCAAGAAAAAACUUAAAACUUUACAAACAAAAUAUCACAAUUAAUAGACAGCAAAUAUUUGCAAUAAAUAAAUAGAUAAAACUUACGCCUAAGAUUUACAUAUUUACGUAUAUAAGAAAUAACCUAUAUCCUAUGUAGUAAUAAUUAUUUAUUAAUUUAAGACUAUAAUGAAAAGAAAAUAAGAGUUUUGAAAAUAGCUUAAACCUGCUCUAUCUACAAGUACGAACUACUUUUUUCGACUUAAAAUUUGGGGUGCUCUGGAUUCUAUUAAAAAAUUUAAUUAAAAAGAAAAUUCUUAUUCUUACGAAUAAUAUUAAAGUUAAACUACUGUUGCUGUUGUCACAGUAGGAAUAGAGUCUAACACUUUUUAAUUUAUCAAAUAAAAGCUGCCCUACACCUAGCCUAUGACUAGUUGAAUCAAUUCUAAUUCUUUCAAAUAAUCUUAAAAUCCCUUUGGCGGUUUUAUCAAAUUACAACUGUCAACUUGUCUUUGUUGAAUGAAAUAAAAUUCAGUUGAAGUAUCUCGUUUUCCUAUAUACAAGUAUGGUAUAGGUUGGGAGCAAGCGUGUGACUUAUAAAUUUUUAAAUAAAAUUAUCCGCUUUACAACGUACGGGAUUUUGGAAAAUAAACAAUGUCAUCAACUCACCAACUGUA
Long non-coding RNA from Bactrocera oleae (olive fruit fly), 1617 nucleotides. RefSeq lists it as uncharacterized. The record is from RefSeq and is a predicted model, not a curated record. NCBI's taxonomy places the organism in Eukaryota, Metazoa, Arthropoda, Insecta, Diptera, Tephritidae.